Long non-coding RNA from Monodelphis domestica (gray short-tailed opossum), 1907 nucleotides. RefSeq lists it as uncharacterized. The record is from RefSeq and is a predicted model, not a curated record. NCBI's taxonomy places the organism in Eukaryota, Metazoa, Chordata, Mammalia, Didelphimorphia, Didelphidae.
UUUUCUUAUCAAGCUUUGGUCUAUGAAAACUUCCUCAAAGGGAAGCGAAUACUCACCUACUGGGUUAUAUGAUUCUUCGUACGGUUUCUGGGAGCAGAAAUAUGUAAAAGGGAAUUCUGAAUCCCCUGCUCUAAUUUAUCCUGGGAAAUGGCGGGCUGGCUCAGCGCACAGAGAGGAGAGGUUCUGUUACCAUGGAGACCAGCCCACAGGAAAAGGAAAUAGAGACUGCUCUGAGAGGAAGCGACGUAAGAAGGACACUGGAUAGGGAAGGAUAAAGGCAAGCACACAUGAGAGAAGGGGCUUCGCUCUAAGGUUUCCUGAGGGCGCGGCGCUGCUGGCAGUUGCUGUGACAGUUGGCAGCUAUGAAAUCGGAUGGAAGAAUAGUGUACGGGUUGGGAGCUGCCCAUUGUUUAACUUGAAGGAAGCCAAGAAAGCCAGGAUAUUGAGAUGAAUGAAGAGUAUUCCAGCCAUGCAGAAGAAUAUGAGAAAAUGCCCAGAACCAAGACAUGGAGUCAGUAUCACUGGAUCAAAGAGUCUGUAAAAGGAAAUGAAAUGUUAGAAAACUGGGAAGGAUGGAGAGGUUUAGGUUAAGAAGAAUUUCAAUAGAGGGUUUUAUGUAAAAUACUAAAGGUGAUGGGAGGGGUGACAUGCUCAUUUAUGCCCUUUAGGGAAAAAAGAAACCAUUUUGGUGGCAGAAUGGAAUAUGAAUUGAAGUGAUGAACAAUUUGAGGCAGGCAGACUCACUAGUGAAAAUAUAAAAACAAAAACCUUCAAUGAAAUAUAAAUUUAAAGAUCUUUUAUUAAAGUCCUUUAAAAACAUUUUUAUAUGGAGUCAGAGAGAAACAACAGAAAGAAAUAGAGAGAUAAAGAGAGUCAGAAUAAGAGAAUGAAAGACAGAGAGAAAAUUUUUAGGCAGCUGUAGGCAGUUUUGGACUAGCCAUUGUGAAGAAGGCCCUGAUCUGCAAGGAACGAUAUGAUAAAAAGUCACCAUCUUUCUUGCUAACUAAUGGGCACAUCUAGAAUAGAAGAAGAGAACUAGGGAACAAAAAGAAAAAGUUACUGAAAAAGUGCUAGUUCCCUUCCCUUCUCUCAAAAUUAGGCUCAGAAAUGGGUUAAGUACAGUACUAGAAUGUGAACCAUGAAUUUCUUGCCAUUAAAACAAUUCUGAGAACCCUGGUAAUGGUUUCAGUUAGCAAAAUCCCUGUUAUGUUUGUGAGAGUUACAGGAAAAUGGAAGAGAUAGGAGGAAAUGAGGGCUGUGGUAGGAGUCUACUAAAAUGGAAAGAAACUGUGCUCCUCUUUGAAACGUCCUUCCAAUCCACACAGCAUUCAAGUUACCCCAGGAGUCCCAAAUCUGCCUAGAGGACAUCUUAAUGCCUUUCAUCACAGACAACAAGAAUUUAUAAGUAACAAUCUGUCAGUACUAGGAUUCAGGGUUUCUAGGAAAGAUUGGAUCAGUCAAUCAAUCAAUCAAUAGUCAAAAAAAGUUACUGACAAAAAAGAGUGACAAAGGUAGUUUGAGAGAGAUUCCUAUGUGUAUCGUUAUCAGAUAAGUAAUGUGAUUACUUGUUGAGCAGUUUUUCAAAAGAAGCCAUUAGGUAAAAUCCUAAAGAAAUGUAAUACUAUUAAAAAAGGAAAUGAUUCUGUAUGCUGCAGUCUUGAAAAUGUAUUUUCAAGCCAACCCUUUAAGAUAAGGUACUUUCCAGAGGAAAGGAAAAUGUAGAAUUUUUUUUGAUUAUUUGUGAGCAUUUGUUUAGGGUAUUUUUUGUAUGUUUAUGGUUUAAUGAACAAAAACAUUCAAGUUCUCAUUUGUGACAAUAGAAAAUAUCCUUUCCAUAUUUAAGAAAACAUCUUUUAGUAACAGCUGUGAACAGUGAAUAAAAUAUUGUUUUAAGUUAAAAAAAAAAA